RNAcentral lists this unclassified non-coding RNA (391 nucleotides) under soil metagenome. Its description in RNAcentral is "partial contains 5.8S ribosomal RNA, internal transcribed spacer 2, and large subunit ribosomal RNA". The stretch from base 1 to 122 matches the Rfam family "5.8S ribosomal RNA", at positions 35 to 154 of the family's 154-position model. The record is from RNAcentral.
GAUGAAGAACGUAGCGAAAUGCGAUACUUGGUGUGAAUUGCAGAAUCCCGUGAACCAUCGAGUCUUUGAACGCAAGUUGCGCCCGAAGCCAUUAGGCCGAGGGCACGCCUGCCUGGGUGUCACACGUCGUUGCCCCCCCAUCUACUCCUUCGGGAUUGCGGGGGGCGGAUGAUGGCCUCCCGUGCGCCUCGUCGCGCGGUUGGCAUAAAUGCCAAGUCCUCGGCGACGCACGCCACGACAAUCGGUGGUUGCGAAACCUCGGUUGCCCGUCGUGUGCGGUCGUCGCGCAUCGAGGGCUCGAAAAAAUUGCCGGGCUCCGGCUCGGCUUUCAACGCGACCCCAGGUCAGGCGGGGUUACCCGCUGAAUUUAAGUAUAUCAAUAAGCGGAGGA